This 497-nucleotide ribosomal RNA is filed under the name uncultured bacterium. Its description in RNAcentral is "partial 16S ribosomal RNA". It matches the Rfam family "Bacterial small subunit ribosomal RNA", at positions 28 to 507 of the family's 1533-position model. The record is from RNAcentral.
GAUGAACGCUGGCGGCGUGCCUAAUACAUGCGAGUCGAGCGAACAGACGAGGAGCUUGCUCCUCUGACGUUAGCGGCGGACGGGUGAGUAACACGUGGAUAACCUACCUAUAAGACAGGGAUAACUUCGGGAAACCGGAGCUAAUACCGGAUAAUAUAUUGAACCGCAUGGUUCAAUAGUGAAAGACGGUUUUGCUGUCACUUAUAGAUGGAUCCGCGCCGCAUUAGCUAGUUGGUAAGGUAACGGCUUACCAAGGCAACGAUGCGUAGCCGACCUGAGAGGGUGAUCGGCCACACUGGAACUGAGACCCGGUCCAGCCUCCUACGGGAGGCAGCAGUAGGGAAUCUUCCGCAAUGGGCGAAAGCCUGACGGAGCAACGCCGCGUGAGUGAUGAAGGUCUUCGGAUCGUAAAACUCUGUUAUUAGGGAAGAACAAAUGUGUAAGUAACUAUGCACGUCUUGACGGUACCUAAUCAGAAAGCCACGGCUAACUACGUG